This 646-nucleotide ribosomal RNA is filed under the name uncultured eukaryote. RNAcentral's name for it is "SSU rRNA". It matches the Rfam family "Eukaryotic small subunit ribosomal RNA", at positions 591 to 1237 of the family's 1831-position model. The record is from RNAcentral.
CUCAUAGCGUAUAUUAAUGUUGUUGCAGUUAAAAAGCUCGUAGUUGGAUUCCUGACCUGGGGUAGCCGGUCCGCCUUGCAAAAGGUGCGCACUGAGCGGCCUCGGUCAUCCUUGAGAAGAGCGGUCCUGGCAUUCAGUUGUCGGGGUCGGGAUUCUCGACGUUUACUGUGAAAAAAUCAGAGUGUUCAACGCAGGCUUACGCCUUGAAUACAUUAGCAUGGAAUAAUGAGAUAGGACCUUGGCGGUCUAUUUUGUUGGUUUGCACGCCGAGGUAAUGAUUAAAAGGGACGGUUGGGGUUCUUCGUAUUCAAUUGUCAGAGGUGAAAUUCUUGGAUUUAUGGAAGACGAACUGCUGCGAAAGCGUCGAACAAGGACGUUCUCAUUAAUCAAGAACGAAAGUUAGGGGAUCGAAGAUGAUUAGAUACCAUCGUAGUCUUAACCAUAAACUAUGUCGAUUCAGGAUUGGCGGUCGUUUGUUCUCGACUCCGUCAGCACUGUAUGAGAAAUCAAAAUCUUUGGGUUCCGGGGGGAGUAUGGUCGCAAGGCUGAAACUUAAAGGAAUUGACGGAAGGGCACCACCAGGAGUGGAGCCUGCGGCUUAAUUUGACUCAACACGGGGAAACUUACCAGGUCCAGACAUAGUAAG